RNAcentral lists this ribosomal RNA (1480 nucleotides) under uncultured archaeon. RNAcentral's name for it is "bacterial SSU rRNA". It matches the Rfam family "Archaeal small subunit ribosomal RNA". The record is from RNAcentral.
CCAUUCCGGUUGAUCCUGCCGGAGGCCAUUGCUAUUGGAGUCCGAUUUAGCCAUGCUAGUCGUACGAGUUCACACUCGUGGCGAAUAGCUCAGUAACACGUGGCCAAUCUACCCUUCAGCGGCGAAUAUCCUCGGGAAACUGAGGCUAAUCCGCCAUACACCUCUCAGACCGGACUGUCGAGAGGUCAAAACGCUUUCGAGCGCUGAAGGAUGAGGCUGCGGCCGAUUAGGUAGACGGUGGGGUAACGGCCCACCGUGCCCAUAAUCGGUACGGGUCGUGAGAGCGAGAACCCGGAGACGGAAUCUGAGACAAGAUUCCGGGCCCUACGGGGCGCAGCAGGCGCGAAACCUUUACACUGCACGCCAGUGCGAUAAGGGGACUCCAAGUGCGAGGGCAUAUCGUCCUCGCUAUCCUGUACUGUAGGGUAGUACAGUAUCAAGAGCUGGGCAAGACCGGUGCCAGCCGCCGCGGUAAUACCGGCAGCUCGAGUGAUGGCCAAUCUUAUUGGGCCUAAAGCGUCCGUAGCUGGCCGCGCAAGUCCGUCGGGAAAUCCAUCAGCCCAACUGAUGGGCGUCCGGCGGAAACUGCACGGCUUGGGACCGGAAGGCUCGAGAGGUACGUCCGGGGUAGGAGUGAAAUCCCGUAAUCCCGAACGGACCACCGAUGGCGAAAGCAUCUCGAGAAAACGGAUCCGACAGUGAGGGACGAAAGCUAGGGUCUCGAACCGGAUUAGAUACCCGGGUAGUCCUAGCCGUAAACGAUGUUCGCUAGGUGUGGCACUGGCUACGAGCCAGUGCUGCGCCGUAGGGAAGCCGAGAAGCGAACCGCCUGGGAAGUACGUCUGCAAGGAUGAAACUUAAAGGAAUUGGCGGGGGAGCACUACAACCGGAGGAGCCUGCGGUUUAAUUGGACUCAACGCCGGACAUCUCACCAGCCCCGACUACGGUAAUGACGGUCAGGUUGAUGACCUCAUCACGAGCCGUAGAGAGGAGGUGCAUGGCCGCCGUCAGCUCGUACCGUGAGGCGUCCUGUUAAGUCAGGCAACGAGCGAGACCCGCACUCCUAAUUGCCAGCAGCAGUCUCGACUGGCUGGGUACAUUAGGAGGACUGCCAGUGCUAAACUGGAGGAAGGAACGGGCAACGGUAGGUCAGUAUGCCCCGAAUGGGCUGGGCUACACGCGGGCUACAAUGGCCGGGACAAUGGGUCGCCACCUCGAAAGAGGGCGCUAAUCUCAGAAACCCGGUCGUAGUUCGGACUGAGGGCUGAAACUCGCCCUCACGAAGCUGGAUUCGGUAGUAAUCGCCGUUCACCAGACGGCGGUGAAUACGUCCCUGCUCCUUGCACACACCGCCCGUCAAAGCACCCGAGUGAGGUCCGGAUGAGGCCAGUACACACUGGUCGAAUCUGGGCUUCGCAAGGGGGCUUAAGUCGUAACAAGGUAGCCGUAGGGGAAUCUGCGGCUGGAUCACCUCCUACAG